RNAcentral lists this ribosomal RNA (235 nucleotides) under uncultured bacterium. Its description in RNAcentral is "partial 16S ribosomal RNA". It matches the Rfam family "Bacterial small subunit ribosomal RNA", at positions 102 to 334 of the family's 1533-position model. The record is from RNAcentral.
CGACGGGUGAGUAACACGUAUCCAACCUGCCGUCUACUCUUGGCCAGCCUUCUGAAAGGAAGAUUAAUCCAGGAUGGGAUCAUGAGUUCACAUGUCCGCAUGAUUAAAGGUAUUUCCGGUAGACGAUGGGGAUGCGUUCCAUUAGAUAGUAGGCGGGGUAACGGCCCACCUAGUCAACGAUGGAUAGGGGUUCUGAGAGGAAGGUCCCCCACAUUGGAACUGAGACACGGUCCAA